RNAcentral lists this ribosomal RNA (497 nucleotides) under uncultured bacterium. RNAcentral's name for it is "partial 16S ribosomal RNA". It matches the Rfam family "Bacterial small subunit ribosomal RNA", at positions 28 to 507 of the family's 1533-position model. The record is from RNAcentral.
GAUGAACGCUGGCGGCGUGCCUAAUACAUGCAAGUCGAGCGAACAGACGAGGAGCUUGCUCCUUUGACGUUAGCGGCGGACGGGUGAGUAACACGUGGAUAACCUACCUAUAAGACUGGGAUAACUUCGGGAAACCGGAGCUAAUACCGGAUAACAUGUUGAACCGCAUGGUUCAACAGUGAAAGACGGUCUUGCUGUCACUUAUAGAUGGAUCCGCGCCGUAUUAGCUAGUUGGUAAGGUAACGGCUUACCAAGGCAACGAUGCGUAGCCGACCUGAGAGGGUGAUCGGCCACACUGGAACUGAGACACGGUCCAGACUCCUACGGGAGGCAGCAGUAGGGAAUCUUCCGCAAUGGGCGAAAGCCUGACGGAGCAACGCCGCGUGAGUGAAGAAGGUCUUCGGAUCGUAAAACUCUGUUAUUAGGGAAGAACAAAUGUGUAAGUAACUAUGCACGUCUUGACGGUACCUAAUCAGAAAGCCACGGCUAACUACGUG